This 500-nucleotide ribosomal RNA is filed under the name uncultured bacterium. RNAcentral describes it as "partial 16S ribosomal RNA". It matches the Rfam family "Bacterial small subunit ribosomal RNA", at positions 30 to 523 of the family's 1533-position model. The record is from RNAcentral.
AUUGAACGCUGGCGGCAUGCUUUACACAUGCAAGUCGAACGGCAGCACGGACUUCGGUCUGGUGGCGAGUGGCGAACGGGUGAGUAAUACAUCGGAACGUGCCCAGUUGUGGGGGAUAACUACUCGAAAGAGUAGCUAAUACCGCAUGAGAACUGAGGUUGAAAGCAGGGGAUCGUAAGACCUUGCGCAACUGGAGCGGCCGAUGGCAGAUUAGGUAGUUGGUGGGAUAAAAGCUUACCAAGCCGACGAUCUGUAGCUGGUCUGAGAGGACGACCAGCCACACUGGGACUGAGACACGGCCCAGACUCCUACGGGAGGCAGCAGUGGGGAAUUUUGGACAAUGGGCGAAAGCCUGAUCCAGCAAUGCCGCGUGCAGGAUGAAGGCCUUCGGGUUGUAAACUGCUUUUGUACGGAACGAAAAGCUUCGGGUUAAUACCCUGGAGUCAUGACGGUACCGUAAGAAUAAGCACCGGCUAACUACGUGCCAGCCGCCGCAGUAA